AACGUAGGUGGCAAGCGUUGUCCGGAUUUACUGGGUGUAAAGGGCGUGUAGGCGGAGAUGCAAGUCAGAUGUGAAAACCCGGGGCUCAACCCCGGGACUGCAUUGGAAACUGUUCAUCUAGAGUGCUGGAGAGGUAAGUGGAAUUCCUAGUGUAGCGGUGAAAUGCGUAGAUAUUAGGAGGAACACCAGUGGCGAAGGCGGCUUACUGGACAGUAACUGACGUUGAGGCUCGAAAGCGUGGGGAGCAAACAGG
RNAcentral lists this ribosomal RNA (253 nucleotides) under [Ruminococcus] torques ATCC 27756. RNAcentral describes it as "partial 16S ribosomal RNA". It matches the Rfam family "Bacterial small subunit ribosomal RNA", at positions 524 to 776 of the family's 1533-position model. The record is from RNAcentral. Lineage: Bacteria; Bacillati; Bacillota; Clostridia; Lachnospirales; Lachnospiraceae.